RNAcentral lists this ribosomal RNA (405 nucleotides) under uncultured bacterium. RNAcentral describes it as "partial 16S ribosomal RNA". It matches the Rfam family "Bacterial small subunit ribosomal RNA", at positions 30 to 526 of the family's 1533-position model. The record is from RNAcentral.
AUUGAACGCUGGCGGCAGGCUUAACACAUGCAAGUCGAACGAGUGGCGGACGGGUGAGUAAUGCUUGGGAAUCUAGCUUAUGGAGGUGGAUAACUACUGUAAACUGUCGCUAAUACCGCGUACCAUAGGAUGAGCCCAAGUGGGAUUAGGUAGUUGGUGAGGUAAAGGGUCACCAAGCCGACGAUCUCUAGCUGGUCUGAGAGGAUGACGGGCCACACUGGGAAUGAGACACGGUCCAGACUCCUACGGUAGGCAGCAGUGGGGAAUAUUGCGCAAUGGGGGCAUCCUGACGCAGCCAUGCCGCGUGAGUGAAGAAGGCUGUCGGGUUGUAAAGUUCUUUCGGUAGCGAGGCGUUACCUACAGAAGAAGCACCGGCUAACUCCGUGCCAGCAGCCGCGGUAAUAC